GGCCCAGACUCCUACGGGAGGCAGCAGUAGGGAAUCUUNGGCAAUGGGGGCAACCCUGACCGAGCAACGCCGCGUGAGUGAAGAAGGUUUUCGGAUCGUAAAGCUCUGUUGUAAGAGAAGAACGUGUGUGAGAGUGGAAAGUUCACACAGUGACGGUAACUUACCAGAAAGGGACGGCUAACUACGUGCCAGCAGCCGCGGUAAUACGUAGGUCCCGAGCGUUGUCCGGAUUUAUUGGGCGUAAAGCGAGCGCAGGCGGUUUAAUAAGUCUGAAGUUAAAGGCAGUGGCUUAACCAUUGUUCGCUUUGGAAACUGUUAGACUUGAGUGCAGAAGGGGAGAGUGGAAUUCCAUGUGUAGCGGUGAAAUGCGUAGAUAUAUGGAGGAACACCG
Molecule: ribosomal RNA, 391 nt
Filed under: Streptococcus equinus
Lineage: Bacteria; Bacillati; Bacillota; Bacilli; Lactobacillales; Streptococcaceae
Description: bacterial SSU rRNA
Rfam family: Bacterial small subunit ribosomal RNA
Source: RNAcentral